AAAAAAGUUUUCUAGGGUUCCGCAGCAUCGCUGGCCUGGUCCGAGAGAAGACACACAGCUCAUGCUGUGACACGGAGGGACAAAAGCCUGGGAGAA
Molecule: small RNA, 96 nt
Filed under: Planococcus rifietoensis
Lineage: Bacteria; Bacillati; Bacillota; Bacilli; Caryophanales; Caryophanaceae
Description: Guanidine-I sequence
Rfam family: Guanidine-I riboswitch aptamer
About the family: This family represents a conserved RNA structure found upstream of the ykkC and yxkD genes in Bacillus subtilis and related genes in other bacteria. The function of this family is unclear although it has been suggested that it may function to switch on efflux pumps and detoxification systems in response to harmful environmental molecules.
Source: Rfam by way of RNAcentral